RNAcentral lists this unclassified non-coding RNA (432 nucleotides) under soil metagenome. RNAcentral's name for it is "partial contains 5.8S ribosomal RNA, internal transcribed spacer 2, and large subunit ribosomal RNA". The stretch from base 1 to 120 matches the Rfam family "5.8S ribosomal RNA", at positions 35 to 154 of the family's 154-position model. The record is from RNAcentral.
GAUGAAGAACGCAGCGAAAUGCGAUACGUAAUGUGAAUUGCAGAAUUCAGUGAAUCAUCGAAUCUUUGAACGCAUAUUGCGCUCUCUGGUAUUCCGGAGAGCAUGCUUGUUUGAGUAUCAGUAAACACCUCAACUUCCAUAUCUUUUUGAAAUGGGAGUUGGACUUGAGUGAUCCCAACGCUUUUCCUCACCGAAAAGUGGCGGGUUACUUGAAAUGCAGGUGCAGCUGGACUUUUCUCUGAGCUAUAAGCAUAUCUAUUUAGUCUGCCUAAAAAACAGAUUAUUACCUUUGCUGCAGCUAACAUAAAGGAGAUUAGUUCUUGUGCUGACUGAUGCAGGAUUCACAAAGACAGGCUUCGGCCGACUUUGUAAACUCGAUCUCAAAUCAAGUAAGACUACCCGCUGAACUUAAGCAUAUCAAUAAGCGGAGGA